This 254-nucleotide ribosomal RNA is filed under the name uncultured bacterium. Its description in RNAcentral is "partial 16S ribosomal RNA". It matches the Rfam family "Bacterial small subunit ribosomal RNA", at positions 524 to 776 of the family's 1533-position model. The record is from RNAcentral.
UACGGGGGGAGCAAGCGUUGUUCGGAUUUACUGGGCGUAAAGGGCGCAUAGGCGGCCACCGCAAGUCGACUGUGAAAUCUCCGGGCUUAACCCGGAAAGGUCAGCCGAUACUGCGGGGCUAGAGUGCAGAAGGGGCAACUGGAAUUCUUGGUGUAGCGGUGAAAUGCGUAGAUAUCGAGAGGAACACCUGCGGCGAAGGCGGGUUGCUGGGCUGACACUGACGCUGAGGCGCGAAAGCUAGGGGAGCAAACGGG